UGCGCUACCUGGUUGAUCCUGCCGGUAUCGCAUUUCUUAGUUAAAAGAUUUAUCCAUGCAUGUUUUCGGCACUUUUUAUAGUGCCUGCGGACGGCUCAUUAUAUCAAAGAUAACCUACUCUCAUGGACAGACGGAUAACUAUACUAAUUGUGUGGCUAAUACGUGAUGUAAAAGGUUCUCCUUGUCCCAAUUAUUUUUGCAAUAAACUUGAUUGUUUGUUGGGUUGUUAGGCUUACGCCUUCAGAGAAUGGGUCUUUGUUCUAUCAGCUGUGGACGGUUAUGUAUUGGAUAACCGUGGCUUUGACGGAUAACGGGGAAUUAGGGUUUGAUUCCGGAGAGAAAGCCUGAGAAACGGCUUUCACGGCUAAGGUCGGCAGCAGGAGCGAAAACUUUUCAAAUGAGCAUUGCUUGAAAAGGUGACUAUCUGUAUUAGCAACUGCAAAUGUAGUUUGACUGAAAUGAAAGAUUUUUAAACAAAGUCUUGAGGAGCAAGUUUAGGGCAAGUCUGGUGCCAGCAGCCGCGGUAAUACCAGCUAAGCUAGGAAUGGGUAACAUUGUUGCAGUAAAAACGUUCGUAGUCACUCCUUUUCUCUAGAAUCGUUUUCGAUUUCUUUAGUAGAAUGACGUAGUUAAUAUUAACUACCUUGUCUGCGAGUAAAUUAGAAUGGUUAACUUACAUUUUUUUGGAUAAUAAAGCGCAGUAAAUCUUCAUAUGCUUGAUUUAAAGUGCUGUUUAAGUCUUGGAUACACAGUAAGAAUAAGUGAGGAUACUGGUACUUAACAGCUAGAGGUGAAAUUCAUAGAUUUGUUAAUGUCCAACUAUUGCGAAAGCAUUUAUCUAACUUAUUUUUGGUGAUCAAGAACUAAAGUGUGGGGAUCAAAGAGGAUUAGAUACCCUCGUAGUCCACACCUUAAACUAUGCCAACUAGAGGUUGGUGCAGGUACGAUACUUCAUCAGAACCUUAGCAGAUAUGAAAGUUUUUGGGCUCUGGGGGGAGUACGGUCGCAAGGGCGAAACUUAAAGGAAUUGACGGAACGGCACCACCAGGGGUGGAGCGUGCGGCUUAAUUUGACUCAACGCGGGAAACCUUACUAGGAUAAGACAUUAGAAUGAUUGACAGACUGCUUGAUCUUUCUUGAUUUUAUGGGUGGUGGUGCAUGGCCGGUCUUAGUUGGUGGGGUGACCCGUCUGGUUAAUUUCGGUAACGAACGAGAUCCGAGUUGUUUAGUUGGCGAACUCUAGGGUUUUACUUUAGUGUUGCGUCUCCUAAAUGGACUAUCAGUUUUAAAUUGAGGGAAGUUUCGGGCUAAAUCAGGUCUGUGAUGCCCUUAUAUAUUCUAGGCGGCACGCGCGCUACAAUAGAUUAUAGAUUGUGUCACUUUGACCGAGAGGUAUGGGUUAAUCACGAAGAUAUAUCUGUGAAUGGGAUAGUUUGUUGCAAUUAUCGGACUUGAACUAGGAAUCCCUUGUAAGCACGUUCAAGAAUAGCGUGUUGAAUACGUCCCUGCCGUUUGUACACACCGCCCGUCGUUUCUUCCGACUGAUAUCCAUUGUGAGUUACAGGGAUCGCAAGAAAACUGUUGCAAAUGCUGGAUAUUGGAGGAAGAAAAAGUCGUAACAAGGUUAUCGUAGGUGAACCUGCAGAAGGAUCA
This 1653-nucleotide ribosomal RNA is filed under the name Ganymedes themistos. Its description in RNAcentral is "bacterial SSU rRNA". It matches the Rfam family "Eukaryotic small subunit ribosomal RNA". Lineage: Eukaryota; Apicomplexa; Conoidasida; Eugregarinorida; Ganymedidae. The record is from RNAcentral.